AUAAAAUUACUUAACGUUUAAUUACGUUUAAAUGUUAAAUUUUGUAGGUUUUUGAAGUUAUGUUUUUAGUUAAUGGUGAUAAGAUUUAUUUUACCGUGAAGUUCAAUGUUUAGUGAUGAUGUGAGAGUAUUAUUUAAAUGAUAAGUCAAUCUUUGAUUGGGAUUUGAAGUAUUUUUAAAAUAAGUAUAAAAGGAAUUCAUUGUAAUAGUCAUACCAAACAUAAAAGAAUGAAUCAAUUACCAAGAUUACAGAUAUGAAUGAGAUAAUAAAAAAAGAAUUUUCCAAGGAUUUAGAUUGGCAAGUUUUUUGCAAGAUAAGUUUGUGUGUAUCUAAAAUGUAAUUGUGAUAAAGUUUUUAGUGUUUGAGUUUAGUGUUUUGAUUUUGAGGAUACGAAAAUGUUAUAGAAAGCUACAAUGAAAUUUAGAAGAAAUUUAGUCAACAAGUUUAUUGAGACAAAUAACAGAUCAAGAUACCACAAUUUUUCCUCAACAAGUUGUCUAAAUUCACAAGGCCUAUGAAAAUAAAAUAAACUAUCAAAUGCAACUUCUAGGAUUCUAUUACUGGAUUCCAAGUACGGCUUAACCAAAUAUUGCUAUAAGCAUUUGAAACAGAUCUGAACGGAAUAAAACAACUAAGAAUUACAGAAAGUAAAAUUAGAAGACAAAUUUAACCUAGGAAGUAAUUAAUUACAAAUAAAAAAUCCCCAAUUACAAUAGAAAAUCAAAUCUAAAAUAAAGUAAAAUACUCGUUAAAGGUUUUAUAAUCUUCGAAAGAAAAUUUGACGAGCAAAUUUAAAUACCAUACAAAAUCGACGCUUAACAUCAAAGAUAUUAAUUUUUUAAUUUCGUAUGAAAUAUUACAAUUAUUAACAAGAGAAAAUUUUUAACUUUGAAGUCGCGCAAUGAAAGCUUGAAGAGUAAUUGAUAUUACGAAGGUUUAAAAACAAACUUUAAUUAGUAGGUUUAAAGAUAAGAUUAUUAAGUAUUCUUAAACAGAAAAAAUCCUACUAUUUAAGUACACAAAAUUAUACAAGACAUGACAGUCACAAGAUAAUCGGUAAAAAAUACAAACAAUACGACAUUGAGGUCAUACAAAAUUUAUUUCUAUAAAACUAAGUAACUUACACAUUCCCGAUUGCCAAAUAAAUUUUAAUCACCGCAAUAUCCAUUUGUAAUACAAAAGCUUAAUGCAUUGUUUUUAAUGUAUGUAAUAUUAUAUGUAGCUUUUUUAUUUUCAGAUAAAAUUUGGUAUCACCGAUAUAUUGAUUGAUACGUUGCAAAAAAUUACUUUUAAACAUAUCAUGAUAUGAUAAAACGAGGGCAUCAGUUCUAUUUGGUUAAUUUCUGCGUAAUAAUUGUAACCAGUAAAUAUUUAAUAUACAUAUAGGACAGCAUUGGCUUGAUUUUAUUAAUUUCACUAAACUAAAAUCGGUACAGCAUGGUCUAGAUUGUAUAACACGAAGGAUAGUCGACCACUUCAUAGCUGAUUGCACUUAAUUGCACUUGGAUGCCCCUUGGUUGAUGAGUAAGAAAUUGGAUAAUCUUUCAUGUUAUAAGACAUGGGAUUACUUGCGGUGAAUUAACACGACUUUGAGUCUUGCAAAUAACAUUUGAAUGAGCAUGAUGAGGAUAGGAGGGAUUCGGUUUAGACCUAUUUACGUUUUGUUUUUGUUAAAAUGUUGCUAUGGAAGUGUGCAAAGGCUUGAAAAUUUCUAGCGCAUAUUUGCAAAUAUCUAAAUAGAUUAGACGCUUUACGGCUUUAAAUUUGUUAGGAUUCAAGACCUAAUCAUCGGUGUGUUAACGGCUGGACUAAUUCACUAGACAAAGGAAAGAAUAUUUUAUGUUAGAUCAGCUAUGAUAAUAAUACACACAUGAACAGAUAGAUGGGUUUUUACACAGAAGAAUAUUCCUUCACCUUUGCUUUUUGAAUAUCCACGAUUUUAUCAUUAUGCCAGUUUGUUUCUUCGCAUAUUAUAGUCGACAGUAAGCUCUGAAAAAAUCUACAAAGCUUGAAUCAAAUGGUUUGUCGGUGGUUCUGAUUAAAAUAAUGUUAAAAAAAACUCAAAUUGCUAACGAAUCCAAAUAAAUGUUACUAGUUGUGUAACCCGUGGCUGCUUCAGUGCGUUUGCAUCGUUCGAAUCUUCUUAACAAUAGAUCUGCUUUUAUUUGCAUUUCGGUGAUUUUGAUUUUGUAGACACGUUUUAUUUUGAUUACAAAAUGUUCUGUGAUCUUUUAUAAAAUGCACAAACAAUUCUUUGUGGCUAACUUUAUAACAUGUGAAUGAGCAUGGAGCUAGAUGGAAUUUUUCAUAUUAAAUCGAGAUUUCUUGCAGGAUUAGCUGGUGUGUGAUAGUAAACAUUUCUUGUCACUUAAUUAUUCUUAUAAGGCACAUAUACAUCGAUGUUGGUAAAAUAGACUGCAAGAUAUAUUCAUGAGUACUGCGAACAUUGUGCUUACAGUUAUUGUUCAUCUUAUAUGCUAAUCAUCGGUGUUAAUUUACGGGUGUAUUUUGAGUAGAUUAGUUAUAAUGAAGAGCAGCUUCUAACACUCAAUUAAUAGAAACGAAAUAAAAGGAAAAAGUAGGUAAAUCUAUUAAGUAAGCAUGAUAUAUGAUUCUAGUAUUAAGGACAUAUAUUUUUCCGUGUGCCUUGUUUUGUUAUAUUAUUACAGUUCGGUGAUUCUGUGGCGUUUUAGUGGGUCCGGUAAUCAAAGCAGGGUCGCGAGUAGCGGUUCUACUAUCCGCAGAGAAAUUUUUUGCUUUUAAUGUA
Molecule: long non-coding RNA, 2767 nt
Organism: Melitaea cinxia (Glanville fritillary)
Lineage: Eukaryota; Metazoa; Arthropoda; Insecta; Lepidoptera; Nymphalidae
Exons: 5
Source: RefSeq, a predicted model, not a curated record